GAUGAACGCUGGCGGCAUGCCUAAUACAUGCAAGUCGAACGGACCGAAGGGAAAGCUUGCUUUCCUUGAAGUCAGUGGCGAACGGGUGAGUAACACGUAGGUAACCUGCCCAUGUGCCCGGGACAACGCCUGGAAACGGGUGCUAAAACCGGAUAGGUAGAGAGAUCGCAUGAACUUUCUAUUAAAGGGGCUACGGCCCUGAACAUGGAUGGACCUGCGGUGCAUUAGCUAGUUGGUGAGGUAACGGCCCACCAAGGCGACGAUGCAUAGCCGACCUGAGAGGGCGAACGGCCACAUUGGGACUGAGACACGGCCCAAACUCCUACGGGAGGCAGCAGUAGGGAAUUUUCGUCAAUGGGGGGAACCCUGAACGAGCAAUGCCGCGUGAGUGAAGACGGUCUUCGGAUUGUAAAGCUCUGUUGCGAGAGAAAAACGACACGGAUAGGGAAUGAUCCGUGGGUGAUGGUAUCUCGCCAGAAAGUCAC
RNAcentral lists this ribosomal RNA (485 nucleotides) under uncultured bacterium. Its description in RNAcentral is "bacterial SSU rRNA". It matches the Rfam family "Bacterial small subunit ribosomal RNA", at positions 28 to 494 of the family's 1533-position model. The record is from RNAcentral.